Molecule: ribosomal RNA, 366 nt
Filed under: Triticum aestivum (bread wheat)
Lineage: Eukaryota; Viridiplantae; Streptophyta; Magnoliopsida; Poales; Poaceae
Description: partial small subunit ribosomal RNA
Source: RNAcentral
AUGAAAGUGACAAAACAAGAGACUCUCUAUCAUGAAGAUCAUGGCGCUACUUUGAAGCACAAGUGUGGAAAAAAAGAUAGUAGCAUUGUCCCUUUUUAUUUUCUCUCUUGUUUUUGGGCCUUUUUUUUAUUGGGACAAUGCUCUAUGAAUGAUGAUCAUCACACUUCUAUUUAUUUACAACUCAAUGAUUACAACUCAAUACUAGAACAAAGUAUGACUCUAUAUGAAUGCCUCCGGCGGUAUACCGGGAUAGGCAAUGAAUCAAGAGUGACAUGUAUGAAAAAUUAUGAACGGUGGCUUUGCCACAAAUACGAUGUCAACUACAUGAUCAUGCAAAGCAAUAUGACAAUGAUGAACAUGUCAUGA